This 609-nucleotide unclassified non-coding RNA is filed under the name plant metagenome. Its description in RNAcentral is "partial contains small subunit ribosomal RNA and internal transcribed spacer 1". The stretch from base 85 to 404 matches the Rfam family "Group I catalytic intron". From Rfam's summary of the family: Group I catalytic introns are large self-splicing ribozymes. The record is from RNAcentral.
AAGUCGUAACAAGGUUUCCCAGCAUAAGUCUUGAGGAAUAAUGAUUCUUCCGUAGUGAUACUUAUAGAAGCCUUUGCAACCUCGCAAGAGGGAUGUUCCAGCGACUGUAAACAAUUGGUCCUUAAUGCAAGUCAGCCUUUGUGUUGGCGACACUUUCGAAUUGACGGGGACGCCCUAAAGCCUAUGACACCAACCUAUGAGGGAAACCUAUGUAGGGGCACAUGCUAACAACAUGUGGUAAGGUAAAAGAGCAUAGGAUACUUUCAAGCCUGGCUUGAAGACUAUGGGUAAUCCGCAGCGAAGCCUCUAAGUCUUUAUGAUAUGAGGAACGUUCACAGACUAAGUGGAAGUGGGUGGGACUUGUCCUGCUUAAGAUAUAGUCGGGCCUCUGAGGAAACUCAGAGGGUAAAUCACUGCACUGGUAUUCAGGAUUCAUUAGGAAUCUCUGAUUGUCAGCUUGAGAAAACGUUCCGUAGGUGAACCUGCGGAAGGAUCAUCAUUGAAUAAGCCGGCUUCAUGCCGGUAGAGUGCACACUCACGCCGCCCUUGUGGUGGCUACUCUCAAACCCAAACUAGUUUGUGUAUGUGAAAUUUUAUAACAAAAUACAA